ACACUGAUGGUGAAACGGUAUCAUGCUUGCCUUCCAUAUUCGUGGAGGGGACCGUGUGCUAGCAAGCGGCGUGGGUUCGACUCCCGCUCAGUGUA
This is a non-coding RNA of Earliella scabrosa, 95 nucleotides long. Lineage: Eukaryota; Fungi; Basidiomycota; Agaricomycetes; Polyporales; Polyporaceae. The record is from the annotation of a GenBank genome assembly.